AGAGUAACACAAUUAGCAGAGUCAUUCCACAUUUCUAAUCCUAUUGUAAGUUAUCCACUCAUUGUAGAUUCCUAGCAUUUGUAGACCUCCAGAUAUAUUGAAUAAUGAAGAUCACUUUUGUGUAUCUAUGUCUUGCUUCCAAAGGAAUUUCCACGUAAAUUUGUGUCUCAGCCUGCUGGACACGUAGCAAGGCCUAGGGGACGAGCGGAGGCCGUGCGACGGUGAUGUUGUCGGUGUUUUAGACCGGCAACCUACCUAGGGGGUACCCUAGGUGGUCUUUUGUGCGGUGGGUGUCGUCGAGAAUCAAGGAGUCAAUGGUGAUGCAAGGAACACGAUUUAGAUAGGUUCGGACCACUAGAUCAUGUAAUACCCUACGUCCUAUGUGUAGAUUGUAUUGAGUUGUACUUCGUUGUUUGGAGGGGGUCCCUGCCCGUCCUUAUAUACUCGGGGGAGCAGGAUUACAUGGUGGAGUCCUAGUCGAACACGAUUACAGAGUCCUACUCCUACUCGGCAGAGUAAUCCCCUUCCUAUCCGACUAGUAGUCGAGGAAAAACCAUGAAGCCUACACGCCCUAUAGAGUAGUCUUCAUGUCCGAGUAGGUUUCGGGU
RNAcentral lists this long non-coding RNA (608 nucleotides) under Setaria viridis. RNAcentral describes it as "long non-coding RNA (SVIR_LNC002690)". Lineage: Eukaryota; Viridiplantae; Streptophyta; Magnoliopsida; Poales; Poaceae. The record is from RNAcentral.